This 479-nucleotide ribosomal RNA is filed under the name uncultured bacterium. RNAcentral describes it as "partial 16S ribosomal RNA". It matches the Rfam family "Bacterial small subunit ribosomal RNA", at positions 28 to 523 of the family's 1533-position model. The record is from RNAcentral.
GACGAACGCUGGCGGCGUGCUUAACACAUGCAAGUCGAACGGUAAGGCCCUUCGGGGUACACGAGUGGCGAACGGGUGAGUAACACGUGGGUGAUCUGCCCUGCACUUCGGGAUAAGCCUGGUAAACUGGGUUUAAUACCGGAUAGGACUCCUGGCUUCAUGGCUGGCGGUGGAAAGCUUGUGCGGUGUGUGAUGGGGCCGCGGCCUAUCAGCUUGUUGGUGGGGUGAUGGCCUACCAAGGCGACGACGGGUAGCCGGCGUGAGAGGGGUGACCGGUCACAAUGGGACUGAGAUACGGCGCAGAGUCCUACGGGAGGCAGAAGUGGAGAAUAUUGAACAAGGGGCGCAAGCCUGAUGCAGCGACGCCGCGGGAGGGAUGACGGCCUUCGGGUUGUAAACCUCUUUCAGCUAUGACGAAGCGCAAGUGACGGUAGUAGCAGAAGAAGGACCGGCCAACUACGUGCCAGCCGCCGCCGUAA